CCCUGUUACUGGAUCUACAGUACAUGGAGGGGAAAUCUGGGCAAUUCUGUUGAUCUGCUUUGUGGUGCACCAGAGAUUUCCACUCCUCAAUCAGAUUCAUUUCCCAACAACCGGAACAACCAGAGAGUUUCACUUCAUGCAAAUGAGUUUUUAAUUCCGCAGAACGAACGAGGGAUUACUCUUCCCAUUCAGGGAACGCUUGCUGUUUACCCCGGGGGCAUUCUGAAAUCGCAGCGAGCCGGCCUUGCCAAGGAUACGUAUGCGAGUGGGAUACGUUCAGCGUCCUGGCAGAGUUCACGCCAAGAAUCAACGGCGCCCCGAUUUCAGCUGGAAACGAUCAUUCGUGAGCAGAGGAACCUCAUUGGCCAAAGAUUAGCGCCGUCGGUUAACAUGACAAUCGCUCCGAUUUACCUUCCAGUAUCAUUUUUGCUGACCAGACCUUUUUCUGACUUUCUUUGUUUACAAGUAAAAAAAAAUCACAGCGCAGGAUGAAGCGUCAUGAUGUCAUCGCGGUGACUCUGAAGGUGAAGAAGGCUUUAUAGACGAUCGUUCUGCAAUGAAAUCUCAUCACUCCCACACCUUGGGGAAUUUCUCUUCACCACUGAAAGUCAUAAAAACGCCCCCGACACAUGUGGGCAGAGGAGGUGUGGGGUAGACUGGCAAAGAGGAGCAGGAACAGAAGCGGAGGAAAAGGUGUCCAAGGCUGAAACACGGACUCUACGACCUAUGACCAGUCACAGCGCAGAUAAUCAAGCCUUUGUUUUGGAGGGUCAGACGGAUCCUGAAUGCCUCGGAUGUGAAAGGAAUCGAGCAAGAAAAAAAAAACUUUUCAGUAUUAGGAAUGGAUUACCCAACAAGAAAUGUGGGCAGAGAUCGGCGGUCCCAAUAAAAAUGGCAGCAAGGAUUCUUUUCUAAUUCUUUCUGGACUGGCAGCACAGUGGAGACAACAUUCGUCCCAUCACCAAAAUCUCCAUCAACCAAUCAGAAGGCUUUAUGGAUUAAGGUUAUAUCUGCACUCUUCUCAUUGACCUGAAUUUGGAUCUAAAAAUGUUUCCACCACCAAAGACGAAGAGAAGUAAAGCAACGCCUUCAUAAAGCGUGCCAAGAUUUUGCGUCAGUGUAUUAAAGUGCGGUUCUAGAAUAUUGAAGUAUCUACAUUGAGCCAAAUAAAUACAUUACAAGCAA
Rana temporaria (common frog) is the source of this 1185-nucleotide long non-coding RNA. RefSeq lists it as uncharacterized. The record is from RefSeq and is a predicted model, not a curated record. Lineage: Eukaryota; Metazoa; Chordata; Amphibia; Anura; Ranidae. The transcript is spliced from 2 exons.